This 626-nucleotide ribosomal RNA is filed under the name Curvularia clavata. RNAcentral describes it as "eukaryotic LSU rRNA". The stretch from base 247 to 400 matches the Rfam family "5.8S ribosomal RNA". Lineage: Eukaryota; Fungi; Ascomycota; Dothideomycetes; Pleosporales; Pleosporaceae. The record is from RNAcentral.
CUUGGUCAUUUAGAGGAAGUAAAAGUCGUAACAAGGUCUCCGUAGGUGAACCUGCGGAGGGAUCAUUACACAAUAAACAUAUGAAGGCUGCACCGCCAACAGGCGGCAAGGCUGGAGUAUUUUAUUACCCUUGUCUUUUGCGCACUUGUUGUUUCCUGGGCGGGUUCGCCCGCCUCCAGGACCACAUGAUAAACCUUUUUUAUGCAGUUGCAAUCAGCGUCAGUACAACAAAUGUAAAUCAUUUACAACUUUCAACAACGGAUCUCUUGGUUCUGGCAUCGAUGAAGAACGCAGCGAAAUGCGAUACGUAGUGUGAAUUGCAGAAUUCAGUGAAUCAUCGAAUCUUUGAACGCACAUUGCGCCCUUUGGUAUUCCAAAGGGCAUGCCUGUUCGAGCGUCAUUUGUACCCUCAAGCUUUGCUUGGUGUUGGGCGUUUUUUGUCUUUGGUUUUGUCCAAAGACUCGCCUUAAAACGAUUGGCAGCCGGCCUACUGGUUUCGCAGCGCAGCACAUUUUUGCGCUUGCAAUCAGCAAAAGAGGACGGCACUCCAUCAAGACUCUAUAUCACUUUUGACCUCGGAUCAGGUAGGGAUACCCGCUGAACUUAAGCAUAUCAAUAAGCGGAGG